AUGGCUGAUCAGGGGGGGAGUGUAGAUUUGUCUUGUUGGUGUUGUAAUUGGCUGAAUAUGGAUGUGGAGAGAGGAGAUUUUGUGUUGUGGAGCCGCGUAUGUAUUAUAUGCAGAAAUUUAUUGAAUAUGUUGACUGCUCACGAAAAUCGUGGUGCUGUGUGUUGUCAUUUAAGUCCUCGAUGCAGGCCUCAUUUUCACUUCUUAGCCGGAACUACUGGAUCAGAUGUGGAACUUGGUUUUGUUCUGGUGCAGGAAUGUUUUGUUUCAGACUGA
Non-coding RNA from Vicia faba (fava bean), 273 nucleotides. The record is from the annotation of a GenBank genome assembly. NCBI's taxonomy places the organism in Eukaryota, Viridiplantae, Streptophyta, Magnoliopsida, Fabales, Fabaceae.